AUGUGGCUGCUGCCUCGCCGUUAGGGAGAGUGGGUGUGCCAGCCUCCCAGUGAGGGUACCCAGCCUCCCAGCGAGGACACCCAGGUUCCCCGCGAGGACACCCAGCUUCCCAGAGAGGACACCCAGCCUCCCCGCAAGGACACCCAGCCUCCCAGUGAGGAGUUGCCUCUGGGCCCCUGCUGUCCUGGGCUUUUUUUGCAUAUGUCAUGUCUUGACUUCCAAGGUAGACACUGUUCACUGCUCCGUUUAAGGUGAGGGAACGGGAGGCUGAGAGAGGGAGGAAACCGCCCCAUCCGUUCCCUUCUAGAGUGUCUGGCUCUUCCCCUCCUCCAGCCCCAAGCACCUGGUUUCAAGCUCAUCCUGAACUCGCCACCAGCCCUUGGCUCAGCCCUCUGGGGACAAUAAAAGUGACCCAGGUGUGUCCAUGCCUUAGGGACCUCUCGAUCUCCUCUCUGGUCCUCGCACCUGCCAGGCUCAGCGGGAGGCAGCAGGUCUGGACCCAUUCAUUGCCAGGGCAGCAAAUUCAGCUCCUCUUUCCAAUGAGCCUGCUGCUGACCAGAGCUGCAGCACCUGUGGUCUCCAACGAUCCUGACUCCGCAGAAGGCAGUCCCACCCCUGCCUGGUGCUGCCCUGCCCCUAGGGAGCUGCCCAAGUUGGGAGGAGGCAGCCAGACCCUUUCCACGGAGCUCACGGCACAGGGACCCAAAAUAUGUCCAAAGGGAUAUUACAAAAAAAAAAAAAAAAAAGAUGCUAUCCAGUAGAGGAAAACAUAGAUUCUGUGGAAGAAGCCAGUCACAAAGGACAAAUCCUGCAGGAAUCCACUCAUAUGAGAUGAACACAAAUUCUGGAGAUCUGUGGUGGCUGCCCCUGGACGUGACAGUGUUAAUGCUGCUGAAGGGACACUUAAAAAUGGUGAGGACGGUAAUUUUCCAGUUGCGUGCAUCUGACCGCAAUUUAAUGAAGUUAGGAAAAGAGAAGCAUGAUCUCAUUCUUCAAAAAAAAAUUCUAUCAGUAACUUAUGGCUGUAUGCAUAGAAAAAUCUGGAAAGCUAUACAUAGAAUUGUAUAUCGUUAAGUCCGCAGGUGGAUAAGAUUGGAGAGGGUUGUCUAUACGACGCACUCUUCUAUCAUUUAAAACAGGAGCUUUUAGGAGUAGGA
Molecule: long non-coding RNA, 1157 nt
Organism: Lutra lutra (Eurasian river otter)
Lineage: Eukaryota; Metazoa; Chordata; Mammalia; Carnivora; Mustelidae
Exons: 4
Source: RefSeq, a predicted model, not a curated record